This 433-nucleotide ribosomal RNA is filed under the name uncultured bacterium. RNAcentral's name for it is "partial 16S ribosomal RNA". It matches the Rfam family "Bacterial small subunit ribosomal RNA", at positions 29 to 507 of the family's 1533-position model. The record is from RNAcentral.
AACGAACGCUGGCGGCAGGCUUAACACAUGCAAGUCGAGCGAGACCUUCGGGUCUAGCGGCGGACGGGUGGGUAAAGCGUGGGAACGUGCCCUUCUCUAUGGAUUAGCCCCGGGAAACUGGGAGUAAUACCGUAUACGCUCUUUGGGGGAAAGAUUGAUCGGAGAAGGAUCGGCCUGCGUGGGAUUAGGUAGUUGGUGGGGUAAUGGCGAACCAAGACGACGAUCCAUAGAUGGGUAGAGAGGAUGAUCAGCCACACUGGGACUGAGACACGGCCCAGACUCCUACGGGAUGCAGCAGUGGGGAAUCUUAGACAAUGGGGGCAACCCUGAUCUAGCCAUGCCGCGUGAGUGAUGAAAGCCUUAGGGUUGUAAAGCUCGUUCAGCUGGUAAGAUAAUGACGGUACCAGCAGAAGAAGCCCCGGCUAACUCCGUG